RNAcentral lists this ribosomal RNA (623 nucleotides) under uncultured Bacteroidales bacterium. RNAcentral describes it as "bacterial SSU rRNA". It matches the Rfam family "Bacterial small subunit ribosomal RNA", at positions 105 to 725 of the family's 1533-position model. Lineage: Bacteria; Pseudomonadati; Bacteroidota; Bacteroidia; Bacteroidales. The record is from RNAcentral.
GGUGAGUAACACGUAUCCAACCUGCCGUCUACUCUUGGCCAGCCUUCUGAAAGGAAGAUUAAUCCAGGAUGGGAUCAUGAGUUCACAUGUCCGCAUGAUUAAAGGUAUUUUCCGGUAGACGAUGGGGAUGCGUUCCAUUAGAUAGUAGGCGGGGUAACGGCCCACCUAGUCAACGAUGGAUAGGGGUUCUGAGAGGAAGGUCCCCCACAUUGGAACUGAGACACGGUCCAAACUCCUACGGGAGGCAGCAGUGAGGAAUAUUGGUCAAUGGGCGAUGGCCUGAACCAGCCAAGUAGCGUGAAGGAUGACUGCCCUAUGGGUUGUAAACUUCUUUUAUAAAGGAAUAAAGUCGGGUAUGCAUACCCGUUUGCAUGUACUUUAUGAAUAAGGAUCGGCUAACUCCGUGCCAGCAGCCGCGGUAAUACGGAGGAUCCGAGCGUUAUCCGGAUUUAUUGGGUUUAAAGGGAGCGUAGAUGGAUGUUUAAGUCAGUUGUGAAAGUUUGCGGCUCAACCGUAAAAUUGCAGUUGAUACUGGAUGUCUUGAGUGCAGUUGAGGCAGGCGGAAUUCGUGGUGUAGCGGUGAAAUGCUUAGAUAUCACGAAGACUCCGAUUGCGAAGGCAGC